Molecule: small nucleolar RNA, 92 nt
Filed under: Capsicum annuum
Lineage: Eukaryota; Viridiplantae; Streptophyta; Magnoliopsida; Solanales; Solanaceae
Also listed under: 1 other name
Description: Small nucleolar RNA snoR8a
Rfam family: Small nucleolar RNA snoR8a
Source: Rfam by way of RNAcentral
UGGGUUUGCGAUGAUUAUAAAAUAAUUCCUCGUACUGAAAUGCUGUUGCCACAGCAUGAUAGACUCUUUUACACCCAUAGAAUAUGAGCACC